CCAGCAGGCAAAGGUUGUUAUCCUUUAUGGACCAGCCCUCUGGGGAGCCACAGGGAACAGCUUGGAACAACAGGGAAUGCAUUUGGAAGUUGCCAAACUUUACUUACUGCCUCGCAGGGCUUUGGGAUUUGAUUCCCAGGAUUAUUGGCUCUCACCUGCGUGGGCAUCUGGAAGAUUUUGGACUAUCUGUUUUUUAGCCGAGGAGAAAACUCGAGGGACUUCCAGCCUGAGAAAUCCCAGCGAGUUCUGGGGAUUAGCACGUGGCCUUCCAGGCGGGGAUGUUGGAGGCAAAAUCCUUGGGAAAUGCCAGAGCUCUGCUAACAGCACUCCUGAAGAUGAAUGGGCUUCCUAAUCCUUCUUUUAUCUGGGAAGAGUUGGAGCGUAGUGAAUUGAAGGCCUGAAGAUUCCUCUCUGUGCACUCCCUGGCCUUGCUUGAGGUGCCGCUUAGCAUUCCGUGGGCAGGUUCCUGAGGCUUGGAAGUGCUGAUCUCCCUUUGCCGUGGCAGCUGUGGGAUGUGAGAUCUCCAGGGUGCAGCCAAGGCCCCUCAGGAGAGCCUGAGAUGGUGCCAGCGGCUUCUCUGGAGCUCUGGAUGUCACUGCCACCUUGUCUUGGUUUGGAAUGACAGGUGUCUGCUGAGGAAGGCAGGGGCCGCCCUUGAAAUGGAGAAUGUAAUCCCACUCCCUCCGAAUUAUUAUCAUUUUGAAAUUAAGGGGCUCUCAGGCAAAGAUAUGGGAACAGGGAUAACGGUUCCUUAGUAAGAAAGUAAAAAUAAUAAUGCAGUAGGACAAAAACACCACCACUGACAGAGUCAGGGAUACAGCCUGACCCCCGUUGGUCAGGGUGCUGGUCACAGUCCAGUCCAGCCCUCCUGCAGUGCCAGGUGUGGUUCUGCUGGAGCAGAGAUGAUCCUGUAGAAGCUCCAGUGGUGCUGAGAUGGCUCCGGGGUUCCUCUGGCAAUCCCGUGCACACAGGCUGUGCUGCUGUUCCCAGUCCCAGGUUUGAUCCAGGUGGGAAUGCCGGGCUCCUCCCCUGGGUGGAGCAUCUCCCAAGGGAUGAUGGAAUGGUCUCAGUGAGCCUGGAUGGCCCAUGAACAGCAGAUAUCCCUGCAGGGAGGAUGGGCCUGGGAGGGAUGAGAACACUGCCACAGCUGGUUUAACAGAUUCAAUAGAAUACAAACUGCUGGUUACAUCUUGCAUUGCAAGCCAGGACACACCUUGCCCACAACCAACGAGGGAAGAGCAGAACAAUCCACAGAAUACUCCCUGAAUGCUCCUUGCACUUUCUGCUGGUUGGUUGUUGUGCUCCCUGGGAUCUCUGUGCAUGGGCUGCUCCAGCCUCAGCGAUGAUCCCCAGUGCCCAGGGCAGGAGAUCUCCUGAGGGGCCGUGGUCGGCCCAGAAAUGGGAAAAUGUUCAAUCUGGGAAGAGGAGGACAGUGCUGGCAGCUUUUCAGGAUUUUAUGGCACAGCAGCAGGUCCUGCUUGGUCCCAAAAGGAGACAGAUCCCAAUUGUUUAGGUUGGCAAAGACCUUCAAAGAUCAUCAAACCAUGUUCCUAGGUGGGGUUUAAUGCUGAGGGUGUGGGAUGUCCCACAGGGAUCGGUGAGGGUUUGCCGUGGGAUGGGGUUGGAUCUCUGCACGCUGUGUGCCCUGGCAGACCUUCUCCCCCAAAAAACCAAAGGUGAUCUACAGGGUGCUGGACCUGGAUCAGCUGAGCCAGAGUAUUUGUUCCCCAAAAUCCUCUCUGGGUUCUCCUCUGCUUGUGUGGAGGUCCCUGAGGAGGUGGAAACUCUCCUGAGGGUCCUUUUCCUCUAGCAGUCACUCUCCAAGGUUAUUCCCCUGCUCCUGGAGACACUCCUCUGUUCUCUGGCCAUCUCCCUGCCCCCAAGGCUGGCCCUCCCAGCCCCCAGAUUUCUCCUCCAAAAGAAGCUCCAAAGCACUCCUAGACUUUUUUGAGGCCAGAGGCUCCUUUUCCACAUAUCCACACAGCUUUUCUCCUAUCCCAUCCAGUUCUGCCCUCCACGCUCCCAAACUUCCCUUGUGCUUUCCCCACCAGCCCCACAGGGAGUGUUGGAUUCUCCAGGAGCUGAAGCGGCACAGGAUGGAAUGUCCAUCUCCUGGUGGCACUUCCCAGCUUCCUGAGGGAGCCUGGGAGCAGGGAGGGAUCUCCCAAAGGCCCAGCAGUUCAAAGCUCGUGGAUUGUCCUCUUCCCUGCCACCAAUCCAUACAAACCUGGCCAUAUUUCAGCCUUCUGUGCCCACCUAAACUCUGUGGCUUUAUUUUCACCACAGGCUCUUUGUUCCUGGAUGCUCUGGAAAGGGAAUUAGUGCCUAAUCCUUCUAUAUGUGACUCCAUGCUUUGCAUAUCAUCCUUGUGUCCCUUGUCCCCGACAUCUUCCCUUUUGUGACGAGCUGAGCUCGUGUCUGAACUCUCUUCUCUGAUCCUAGAAGGUUUUUUCCUCCCAUCCUGGGAGAUUACAACUAAUUCGGUGCCCAGCCAUGCAUGCCAAAAUUUAAAUAAUAAAUCAUCUCUCCCUGCCAGCAAACACCCCUGGACACGAAGGCAAAGCCCCACUCCUUCCCGGGAAAAUGGGGCUCUGCCUCAGCCUGAAAUUUCUGGGAAUUGUGGAUUGGGGGUGCUUCCCACCUGCCUGCACAUCCCCCCGCCCUUCCCUGCCUGUCUUGGCUCUGCUCUGAAGGAAAUGAUUGUGUUGGGAUCCUCCAAAUGCCAGGGAAGGGAGCAGGGGAGCCCAGAGGAGCCAAUGUGGGGCAAGGAUUGGAGAGAAGACACGGCAAAAAAAAAUAAAAAUGAGAGCAGGGAACAAAAUGUGGGGUGCAGGAGGAUGAGAGUCGGGGUGUGACCCACGUGCCAGUGUGCUAAAUUCCCCUCUCCACCACCAUAAAAGGGUUUUAUCCUCUAACCAACACCGUGGUGAGAGGUUUAUUCAAGUAGAAAAUUUUUAAUUGCAUUCUCUUGUAGUCA
Long non-coding RNA from Hirundo rustica (Barn swallow), 2977 nucleotides. RefSeq lists it as uncharacterized. The transcript is spliced from 3 exons. NCBI's taxonomy places the organism in Eukaryota, Metazoa, Chordata, Aves, Passeriformes, Hirundinidae. The record is from RefSeq and is a predicted model, not a curated record.